This is a long non-coding RNA of Sparus aurata (gilthead seabream), 1584 nucleotides long. The record is from Ensembl. Lineage: Eukaryota; Metazoa; Chordata; Actinopteri; Spariformes; Sparidae.
AUGGACCAGAAUCAAGUGAAAGAGGCAGAAUGUUCACCAGGAACUAACCAGAUUAACUCUCACCGAGGGGGUUUCAAUAAUCAUCUGACAAAUAGGUGUGGUGGAUUGAGGCCAGAGACACAGCCCUCUAUUUCACUCUGCCCUCCAUCUGUCCAUCUCCUAUUUUCCGUUCUUUCUCAAUCUCCUCUUUUCUCCGCUUUUUUUUGUCUUGUGCCAGGUCCUCAUCCAGGAUACCAGCUGCGACCCCUGCAGCCCUACCUCCUCUCCUCUUUGCCAGGCUUUGGCUCUGUUUUUCUAAUGAGAGAUGGAAGGGCAGGAAGCGAUGAGGCAUGGCUGAAAAGGGAGAGGAGGCAAAUAAAUCAGAGAUCACAUUUCAAUUUGGGGACACUGGAUGCUUCUGUGACAAUAUCUGAACACUGGAUGGACCAAGCAGUACUGCAGUUGGAAUACCUGCUUUUUUUUUAGAUUUUCAAUGGAUUUAUUCAUCCUUUUAGGACUCAUAUAUUUUAAAUGUAUUGUAAAUAUUGUUAUUAAAUAGAAAGAAAAAUCUUCCACUUGGUCUCAGCUGCCCAGAGGGGCGAACUGUGUGUGAUUGACACCAGCUGACUGUCUGCCAGACUGUCAGUGUUGCAUUGUAGAAAGUCUGACUCACUGGAUGAAGACUGUUGGUAUAAGCCUGCCAAUGGGCCACAGUUUCAGUUGGCAUUCCCCUUCUGCUAUCAGUGUGUUACCGUGCUACCUGUCUCUAUGGGGAGAUGACAACAACCUCCAAGCUAUCAACCCUGAAGUUACCCUAACUUCAAGCUGGUCACUAAGGGUAAAAACCCUAGCAAGCAAGAUGCUAUUACCUCUUUUUUUUUUCUUUUAGUCAUGUUGAUGCUAGAGCCGACCUCCUCACAUGCAAAACAAAUGUGUUCAUAAAUAAAUGUAUGUUUACCAAAAAUUUUGUUUUUGCGAGUUUACUGAAGCAGUAACAGCUGGAGGCUGCACUUGCAGGCAGUGGCAUCUAACUUUCUCAAAGAUGUUGGCAUUAACAUGUUUUAGCUUUUGAACAAUAGCUUAAUACCACAGAAUAAUUGUUCACUGACAGUACAAUGUUGCAGAAACUAUAUUUGACCUUCAAAACCAAGAAACUACGCAGCCCUAAGGACAAUCCACUCCUACUUCUCAAAAAUAAGCUAAGACUGGACCAGACCAGACAGACAUCUUUAACUGAAGAAAGGGGUCUGAAGCUAGUUUUUGAUUCUGAGCUGCCACUUUCAUAAACUAGUUUGAUGAAAUUUGGGAACUGACAGAUGAGAGGAAGGUACAAAAAUUAGACUAAUACUGGGAGAUAGGGAGGGGAUGACUGACUGUUGGCUAGCCAGAAUGAAAAGACUAAGAGAUGUGCAGCUAAACUAAACAGCCACACAUAUGCCAGGUGCAUUGAAGUGUCCAAAAUGCACACUAUCAAAGUAAGCAAGCAAACUCACCCUGCACCCAAAAUGUUGUAGCUUUAACAACACAGCCAGAGGUGCAGAUGCUGUCCCUACUGGAGCCACCCUCACUGAAAAUAGGCCCCUAUGGAAUUUAUUUGUAUAAAAG